AAAGGAGAAAAAUGGGGGGAGAUGCUCUCACAGGUCAAAACGCGGGGAAAACAAAUGCAAAAUGUAGUUAUGAGUAUUGUACAAUGAAUGAGACCUCAAAGUUAGUACAAGAAAAUCAGCUAUUUUACAGAACUGCUCCUACACUUUAACAAAUCAUCAACACAAUAAACAUAUACUCCUGCUGCUUCUAGCACCAUCUCUGUUUUCAAGACCUCUCAA
RNAcentral lists this unclassified non-coding RNA (219 nucleotides) under Hevea brasiliensis (rubber tree). Lineage: Eukaryota; Viridiplantae; Streptophyta; Magnoliopsida; Malpighiales; Euphorbiaceae. The record is from RNAcentral.